UACCGAGGUCUCAAGCGUUGUUCGGAUUCCUUGGGCGUAAAGGGUGCGUAGGUGGCGCGCUAAGUCAGGUGUGAAAUCUCGGGGCUUAACUCCGAAACUGCAUUUGAUACUGGCGUGCUUGAGGACUGGAGAGGAGACUGGAAUUCAUGGUGUAGCAGUGAAAUGCGUAGAGAUCAUGAGGAAGACCAGUGGCGAAGGCGGGUCUCUGGACAGUUCCUGACACUGAGGCACGAAGGCCAGGGGAGCAAACGGG
This 253-nucleotide ribosomal RNA is filed under the name uncultured bacterium. Its description in RNAcentral is "partial 16S ribosomal RNA". It matches the Rfam family "Bacterial small subunit ribosomal RNA", at positions 524 to 776 of the family's 1533-position model. The record is from RNAcentral.